GGGUGUGUAAUUCAGUGGCAGAGCAUAUGCUUAGAAGGCAUGAGGUCUUGGGUUCAAUUCCCAGCACCA
RNAcentral lists this transfer RNA (69 nucleotides) under Cavia porcellus (domestic guinea pig). It matches the Rfam family "tRNA". Rfam says of the family: Transfer RNA (tRNA) molecules are approximately 80 nucleotides in length. Their secondary structure includes four short double-helical elements and three loops (D, anti-codon, and T loops). Further hydrogen bonds mediate the characteristic L-shaped molecular structure. tRNAs have two regions of fundamental functional importance: the anti-codon, which is responsible for specific mRNA codon recognition, and the 3' end, to which the tRNAs corresponding amino acid is attached (by aminoacyl-tRNA synthetases). tRNAs cope with the degeneracy of the genetic code in two manners: having more than one tRNA (with a specific anti-codon) for a particular amino acid; and 'wobble' base-pairing, i.e. permitting non-standard base-pairing at the 3rd anti-codon position. The record is from Rfam by way of RNAcentral. Lineage: Eukaryota; Metazoa; Chordata; Mammalia; Rodentia; Caviidae.